RNAcentral lists this transfer RNA (74 nucleotides) under Hordeum vulgare. RNAcentral's name for it is "tRNA-OTHER". The record is from RNAcentral. Lineage: Eukaryota; Viridiplantae; Streptophyta; Magnoliopsida; Poales; Poaceae.
GGCUUUGUAGCCGAGCUGGUAACCAGCAUGUGGUGUUAACCAGGCGAUCUGGGGUUCGAAUCCCAGCCGGGCCU